RNAcentral lists this ribosomal RNA (478 nucleotides) under uncultured bacterium. RNAcentral's name for it is "partial 16S ribosomal RNA". It matches the Rfam family "Bacterial small subunit ribosomal RNA", at positions 28 to 507 of the family's 1533-position model. The record is from RNAcentral.
GAUGAACGCUGGCGGCGUGCUUAACACAUGCAAGUCGAACGAGAAGUGGAGACGGAAACCUUCGGGCGGAAGACUUUAUUUCGAGUGGCGGACGGGUGAGUAACGCGUGGGUAACCUGCCUCAUACAGGGGGAUAACAGUUGGAAACGACUGUUAAUACCGCAUAAGACCACAGCACCGCAUGGUGCGGGGGUAAAAACUCCGGUGGUAUGAGAUGGACCCGCGUUCGAUUAGCCAGUUGGCGGGGUAACGGCCCACCAAAGCGACGAUCGAUAGCCGAUCUGAGAGGAUGACCGGCCACAUUGGGACUGAGACACGGCCCAAACUCCUACGGGAGGCAGCAGUGGGGAAUAUUGCACAAUGGGGGAAACCGUGAUGCAGCGACGCCGCGUGAGUGAAGAAGUAUUUCGGUAUGUAAAGCUCUAUCAGCAGGGAAGAAAAUGACGGUACCUGAGUAAGAAGCCCCGGCUAACUACGUG